UUAGUAUUCUCUUCGUGUCAAAAUUCUUGUCUUAGGUUUGUCUAGAUAUGAAUGUAUCUAGUCACGUUUUAGUAUUUAGAUACAUUCAUUUCUAGACAAAUCUAAAACAAGAAUUUUGGGACGGAGGGAGUAAUAA
This 136-nucleotide microRNA precursor is filed under the name Hordeum vulgare. Its description in RNAcentral is "microRNA MIR1122". It matches the Rfam family "MIR1120/MIR1122 microRNA precursor family". Lineage: Eukaryota; Viridiplantae; Streptophyta; Magnoliopsida; Poales; Poaceae. The record is from RNAcentral.